This is a non-coding RNA of Ictidomys tridecemlineatus (thirteen-lined ground squirrel), 52 nucleotides long. Lineage: Eukaryota; Metazoa; Chordata; Mammalia; Rodentia; Sciuridae. The record is from Rfam.
UUUAAAGUAUAAGUGUAUCCUGUGCCAUAUUUAGGACAUACUUAUGCUAAAA